GUGCUCCCUUCUACAGCACAUAUACUAAAAUUGGAAUGAUACAGAGAAGAUUAGCAUAAUCCCUGCGAAGUAUGACAUGCAAAUUCAUGAAGCAUUCCAUAUUAUU
This is a small nuclear RNA of Artibeus jamaicensis (Jamaican fruit-eating bat), 106 nucleotides long. NCBI's taxonomy places the organism in Eukaryota, Metazoa, Chordata, Mammalia, Chiroptera, Phyllostomidae. The record is from RefSeq and is a predicted model, not a curated record.